This 2621-nucleotide ribosomal RNA is filed under the name Triticum aestivum (bread wheat). RNAcentral's name for it is "partial small subunit ribosomal RNA". Lineage: Eukaryota; Viridiplantae; Streptophyta; Magnoliopsida; Poales; Poaceae. The record is from RNAcentral.
UAGGAGCGAAUCUGCGAAUGUCGAGUCCAGCUGAGCCUAAGCGUCGUCGUUUUAAGGAACGAGUGGGGAGGGAGGGCGUAGAGGAGGAGGGGGAGAGCGCAGAGGGAAGGGGGCGGGGCGGCGGUGCGUUGUCGCCGUCGUCCCCGGCCUCCCCCCGUCCGCCCCUCGCCGGCGGCGUUCGGAGCUUAGAGGGCUGGGGGGUGAGUUGUCCCCCGCCUCCCGCCCCCGAUGUUUACCGGCGACGGCUCGGCUGGCCUCCGCCCCCUCCGCUGGUCCAGCACCUCCUCUAAUUUCGUCCUCCUCCUCCUCCUCCUCCUCCGCUCGCGGGGUGGCUGCUGCGGGGGCGCCGCAGGUGCAGAAGGCGGAGUCUAUUGCCUUUGGAGGUAUCUAGUUCGUGAUACGGUCCCCAGUAGUUCCUAUGGCUCUAUUGAUGACUUUGAUGCCCAGGUAGUUUAGACCUUUCCAGUUUUUGACUCUCCGCGUUUGUUUUAUUAGGUCGGCUACUAGGAUGAUUUGUCAAUAAUCUACUAUUCUAAAGGUAUUCUUUUUUCGAUUUUUACAACUUAGCCUAUCGAUGUCACUUCCUACUACCUUGACACCAACAAUUACAUGGUUCAUGAGAUCUUCGUUGAGGUCAACUACAACCUCCUCGUCUACCGAUACUACUACAACAACAACUUCUUAGUAAUCUACCUAGUCUAUAUGGUAUGUCUGGAGGUUAUGUCUAACAAUAUGAAUAGCACCCAUGUUCCCCUCUGCAAGUCGGUAAACAACGUUAUCCUUUUGCGAAUGUCCUAAUACCUGUGGCACACUCUAAUCGGUGAGUACGAUUGAUAUUCCUCAAGUAUGAAUGUCGACCCGACCUCAAAAAAGGUGACCCACCUCUGGGUUUUCAUGAACGACUUAUGUACCACUUCUUGUUUCCAAAGGAUGGAAGUCCGGGUAGUCUUUAAGGACAAGUUUCUUUUGUUUACUUUCUUUAAUAUAAAAGGGAUGACGGACGUACGUUCCUAGGACUGGGACUAUGGCCAUAACGAAAGUUUCACCUACGUUAAUAGCGCUUGGGUGGUCGUAUACCUGUAUGUGUACACCGUCUCCGUGAUUUUCAUGGGUAAGUAUAUAAGAAAUGGUACGGUACCUGCGGUUGAUCGCUUAAAGGAGUAGGAGAAAGAGCUCACUUUUGUAGUCGACCUAUAGCUGAAAGAAUGGUUUAACAACUGAGAUACUAAACCGAACCCUAUGCACUAUACUAUUUGCUUAAGUCCUUUUUCUUCAACUUCGACGCAGGUCAUUGUAUGGAUUCACCACGUGUCCCAAGACCUUCACUGUAAGGAGUACCUAUGUAGACCUCGGGAGUGGAACAGGGUUUUGGCUUUCUGACCCCGGGGUUCUAGCUACAACAACCUAAAACGAAGGAGCUAGAACGCAGACUAAUGCAUGGUGGACUUCUUGAACACUUUACCGAACUUCGCCCGCUGUUUGGGUAAAUAGGUCAAGUUCUAGGUCGUUUCUACUGACUUUGGUAACACUUCCGUGAGCUUUACUGACCUGUCUCUCCAUAGUAAUUGUUCCCAACCCCACCGGAGCCUUGUAACCGUCUUGGUUUUCUAAGGUAUAUACAAGAACUGUUGACGGGAGUGCUGACCGAAAAGGACGUCACAUUCCGUCACCAUGUGGUACCACCACGACCUUGCUGCCGACGGCCGGACUUUCGUCGCACAGGAUGUUGAUAACAUGGAAAGAAACCGCUGGUUGGUAAGACCCCUCUCGCCCAUGUACGAUCUCCCCAUCCCGGAAGCGGAUAUGGCCAACUAGUUAAGUGAAACGUCUUCAACCAACUACGAUAUUUUAAGUACAACCUAGGUCUCCACUUUCUUUUCCGGCACCUCGAACGGUUCCGGUACCUUAGUCUUCUGCCACAUUGCCCGCGUCAGUCCCGUAAGGAGUUUGUGGACGGGACAUUUUGUCUACUUUUAAGUGGGGGUGGUUGCGUGCCGAAAGAUCUCAAGGAUCCGGGUCAUUCAUUUACAAACCCCACGAGAAUCCACGACCAGUCUACUUCCAUAUGGUAAGGAGGGACGACUUGCUUCUCACAUUUUUUCCGAGAACCCACUGCGCGAUACGAUAAAGCACGCUAUUCUUACACCUUCGGUUUACAAUCUUCAGCUACAUGUACGUACGCUGGUCCUCGGGCACUAAAUAGCAAAACGCAAAAAAAACAUACACACAACACAUUUCUCAUAAACAGACCACUAAAAUUAUGUAGUAAAACCACACCAACGUUGGAACCAGACGUCGUUGGCUACUUAGAGUACAUACUGGUCUGUUGGACACAUAUACCUUUUGAAGUCUCACGUCUAAUCAAGUCAACGAGGAAAACGUCAAAUAUGCUAUAUCAAACUAAACUUUGACGACCCGUACAGUACCAAUAUUAAUGUCAUACAAAGUUCAAAAAGGAUCAAGAUGAUGUCCGGAAGUAAAAUUCUAUUUCAUCUCUGGACACUGGAGCACGUGCCCCCUUUCAUUAAUACAGUAGGGACAUGAAAAAAAAGAGUCAAAGGUUUUUAUACUUUUGUUCAGUACCAACAUUUAACCCGAUAUAGAACACUUUAUAAUGAACA